Molecule: ribosomal RNA, 465 nt
Filed under: Vreelandella stevensii
Lineage: Bacteria; Pseudomonadati; Pseudomonadota; Gammaproteobacteria; Oceanospirillales; Halomonadaceae
Description: partial 16S ribosomal RNA
Rfam family: Bacterial small subunit ribosomal RNA
Source: RNAcentral
CCUACGUGUGGCAGCAGUGGGGAAUAUUGGACAAUGGGCGAAAGCCUGAUCCAGCCAUGCCGCGUGUGUGAAGAAGGCCUUCGGGUUGUAAAGCACUUUCAGUGGGGAAGAAAGCCUUGGGGCUAAUACCCUCGAGGAAGGACAUCACCCACAGAAGAAGCACCGGCUAACUCCGUGCCAGCAGCCGCGGUAAUACGGAGGGUGCGAGCGUUAAUCGGAAUUACUGGGCGUAAAGCGCGCGUAGGCGGUCUGAUAAGCCGGUUGUGAAAGCCCCGGGCUCAACCUGGGAACGGCAUCCGGAACUGUCAGGCUAGAGUGCAGGAGAGGAAGGUAGAAUUCCCGGUGUAGCGGUGAAAUGCGUAGAGAUCGGGAGGAAUACCAGUGGCGAAGGCGGCCUUCUGGACUGACACUGACGCUGAGGUGCGAAAGCGUGGGUAGCAAACAGGAUUAGAUACCCGGGUAGUC